RNAcentral lists this ribosomal RNA (468 nucleotides) under uncultured bacterium. RNAcentral describes it as "partial 16S ribosomal RNA". It matches the Rfam family "Bacterial small subunit ribosomal RNA", at positions 28 to 507 of the family's 1533-position model. The record is from RNAcentral.
GACGAACGCUGGCGGCGUGCUUAACACAUGCAAGUCGAACGGAAAGGCCCUGCUUUUGGGGGGUGCCCGAGUGGCGAACGGGUGAGUAACACGUGAGUAACCUGCCCAUGACUUUGGGAUAACUUCAGGAAACUGGGGAUAAUACCGGCUAGGAGCUCCUGCUGCAUGGUGGGGGUUGGAACGCUUCGGCGGUCGGGGCUGGACGCCCGGGUUAUCAGCUUGUUGGGGGGGUAGUGGCUAACCAAGGCUUUGACGGGUGGCCGGCCUGAGAGGGUAGCCGGCCACAUCGGGACUGAGGGACGGCCCAGACUCGUACGGGAGGCAGCAGUGGGGAAUAUUGCACAAGGGUCGCAAGCCUGAUGCAGCACCGCCGCGUGCGGGAAGCCUGCCUUCGGUUUGUAAACCGCUUUCGCCUAUUACGAAGCGUUAGUGACGUUACUGGGUAAAGAAGCACCGGCUAACUACGUG